UCCAAUUUUAUUUUUAAUUGCAUUCUGGUCCCUCAAACAGUUUCCAGAAUUGCAUUUUAGUCCAAAACUUUUUAAAUUUGCUUUUUAGUCCUUUUUUCUUAUUUGCUGUUUAGUCCUUCAAGUUUCUUAUUUUGCAGAAAGGUCCCAAGUUCAUUUUUUAGCCCAAGGCCGAGCCAUUUUUAUCCAGGACAGAUGUCACCUUUUCAUUGGAUUCC
Molecule: long non-coding RNA, 215 nt
Filed under: Medicago truncatula (barrel medic)
Lineage: Eukaryota; Viridiplantae; Streptophyta; Magnoliopsida; Fabales; Fabaceae
Description: long non-coding RNA (MTRU_LNC001757)
Source: RNAcentral